This 862-nucleotide ribosomal RNA is filed under the name uncultured Staphylococcus sp. Its description in RNAcentral is "bacterial SSU rRNA". It matches the Rfam family "Bacterial small subunit ribosomal RNA", at positions 54 to 896 of the family's 1533-position model. Lineage: Bacteria; Bacillati; Bacillota; Bacilli; Caryophanales; Staphylococcaceae. The record is from RNAcentral.
CAUGCAAGUCGAGCGAACAGACGAGGAGCUUGCUCCUCUGACGUUAGCGGCGGACGGGUGAGUAACACGUGGAUAACCUACCUAUAAGACUGGGAUAACUUCGGGAAACCGGAGCUAAUACCGGAUAAUAUAUUGAACCGCAUGGUUCAAUAGUGAAAGACGGUUUUGCUGUCACUUAUAGAUGGAUCCGCGCCGCAUUAGCUAGUUGGUAAGGUAACGGCUUACCAAGGCAACGAUGCGUAGCCGACCUGAGAGGGUGAUCGACCACACUGGAACUGAGACACGGUCCAGACUCCUACGGGAGGCAGCAGUAGGGAAUCUUCCGCAAUGGGCGAAAGCCUGACGGAGCAACGCCGCGUGAGUGAUGAAGGUCUUCGGAUCGUAAAACUCUGUUAUUAGGGAAGAACAAAUGUGUAAGUAACUAUGCACGUCUUGACGGUACCUAAUCAGAAAGCCACGGCUAACUACGUGCCAGCAGCCGCGGUAAUACGUAGGUGGCAAGCGUUAUCCAGAAUUAUUGGGCGUAAAGCGCGCGUAGGCGGUUUUUUAAGUCUGAUGUGAAAGCCCACGGCUCAACCGUGGAGGGUCAUUGGAAACUGGAAAACUUGAGUGCAGAAGAGGAAAGUGGAAUUCCAUGUGUAGCGGUGAAAUGCGCAGAGAUAUGGAGGAACACCAGUGGCGAAGGCGACUUUCUGGUCUGUAACUGACGCUGAUGUGCGAAAGCGUGGGGAUCAAACAGGAUUAGAUACCCUGGUAGUCCACGCCGUAAACGAUGAGUGCUAAGUGUUAGGGGGUUUCCGCCCCUUAGUGCUGCAGCUAACGCAUUAAGCACUCCGCCUGGGGAGUACGACCGUCAAGGUUG